This 527-nucleotide ribosomal RNA is filed under the name Escherichia coli 1-110-08_S4_C2. RNAcentral's name for it is "bacterial SSU rRNA". It matches the Rfam family "Bacterial small subunit ribosomal RNA", at positions 8 to 524 of the family's 1533-position model. Lineage: Bacteria; Pseudomonadati; Pseudomonadota; Gammaproteobacteria; Enterobacterales; Enterobacteriaceae. The record is from RNAcentral.
AGAGUUUGAUCAUGGCUCAGAUUGAACGCUGGCGGUAGGCCUAACACAUGCAAGUCGAACGGUAACAGGAAACAGCUUGCUGUUUCGCUGACGAGUGGCGGACGGGUGAGUAAUGUCUGGGAAACUGCCUGAUGGAGGGGGAUAACUACUGGAAACGGUAGCUAAUACCGCAUAACGUCGCAAGACCAAAGAGGGGGACCUUCGGGCCUCUUGCCAUCGGAUGUGCCCAGAUGGGAUUAGCUAGUAGGUGGGGUAACGGCUCACCUAGGCGACGAUCCCUAGCUGGUCUGAGAGGAUGACCAGCCACACUGGAACUGAGACACGGUCCAGACUCCUACGGGAGGCAGCAGUGGGGAAUAUUGCACAAUGGGCGCAAGCCUGAUGCAGCCAUGCCGCGUGUAUGAAGAAGGCCUUCGGGUUGUAAAGUACUUUCAGCGGGGAGGAAGGGAGUAAAGUUAAUACCUUUGCUCAUUGACGUUACCCGCAGAAGAAGCACCGGCUAACUCCGUGCCAGCAGCCGCGGUAAU